GUAGGGAUGACUCUUAAACCAGGGAGAAAGCCUCUCUCUAUAGUAGACACCAUUGGACAAUUUCCUUGUUUCCCUCCUGUUCAUUCAUAAAAAGCAAUUUUUUUUUUCUCAUUUUAAGGGGGAAAAAGAGAGGGUGGGACAGGAACUCAGCUCCUCCAGUGUAAAGGACUAAAUGAAAAAUAUAAAAGCCCAAAUUGUAAAUCCUGGAGAAAUGAAGCCAGUGGGGUGGAGCGGGGGAGGAGAGGACUGUAGUGGUGGAAAGGUAAGUUGCUUUGCUAUGCGCCUUGACUUAAAAGAAAAACAAACAAACAACAAACAUCUUCCAGGAUUUCCCUAGACCGGGCCUUAUGCGGGAUCAGUGCGCCUCUCACCUAGCCCGGGGAAGGCAGGGGCUCCCCAGGAGAUAUUUCAAAUAAUCUGGGUCUUCACGGAUAAUCAGUGGCCAAAGCCCCUCCACCCACCGUAACCAAGGCAACAGGAGGCAGGGGCUGCGAUUGGUUGCCUGGUAACCAUGCUAGUGCCUGAAGUCCUGUCCGUUCUCUUCCUCCUCCACCUCCGUUUGCCCUUUUGUGAUAGCGUCUCUCCCUCCGCGGUUCCCUUUCUUGGCCAAACAAUCAUCUUUGCUCCUCAUACAAAGGGUGUUCUAAACCAUGCAGAUAAAGGCCACUUGCCCAGGAAGGGGAAGCAAGAAGGUCCUGGUUUCACCGUGAACACAAAUGACUGUUUUGGCAGUCUACCGUACUAUCCACCAGACUAGUCUUUCAGAGAAAAAUGCCAGAGGCAGCAACUGAAAGCAGCUUGUAGGAGUCAUCAGUUAGUCACUGAAGCAAAUCAUUUGAGAGAAGAUAAAGGCGAGCUCUUGACACUCCUGGGACAAGAAGACCUGCCCUGCGAGACUUGCCUGUGAGUGGCUCAGCUUCUCCUACCCUGGGGAAGGUAAUUGAUGAGUUAAUUAAUAUGCACAGCAGAUGCAUCACUGUCAAUAGAAGAUGGACUGCUUCUGGUCCUCACUAUCGUUACUAAGAUGAUCUCAGCCUUUCAACUUAGUUGGGAGAAACCAAUUUCCU
RNAcentral lists this long non-coding RNA (1067 nucleotides) under Rhinopithecus bieti (black snub-nosed monkey). Its description in RNAcentral is "lncRNA (ENSRBIG00000046753.1)". The record is from RNAcentral. Lineage: Eukaryota; Metazoa; Chordata; Mammalia; Primates; Cercopithecidae.